This 289-nucleotide long non-coding RNA is filed under the name Cicer arietinum (chickpea). Its description in RNAcentral is "long non-coding RNA (CARI_LNC003342)". The record is from RNAcentral. Lineage: Eukaryota; Viridiplantae; Streptophyta; Magnoliopsida; Fabales; Fabaceae.
AUCUAGGGGAUCUGGUUGUGGUUCUUCAGUUGCUUGUCGACCAAUAUCUGCUAUGUCUUCGAAUGAUAGCUUGAGGCCUAGGUGUGCUUGAAUUGCAGCAACAUCCUGAACAACUGAUUUCAGGGAUGUUUGGAUAGAUGUUAAAGUAGCUUCCAUCCUUGCAUUAGACUCUAAUAGUUUGGCAUUGUGUGCCAUCUGUGCUGCCAUAAAUUCCAUCAACUUUGUAACAUAUGCAGGAGGCUCAGCUGCAGAUUCAGAGGCUUGUGGAGGAGUUGGCUCAACAUUUGGC